GAUGAACGCUGGCGGCGUGCCUAAUACAUGCAAGUAGAACGAGUUGCGAACGGGUGAGUAACGCGUGGUAACCUGCCUCAUAGCGGGGGAUAACUAUUGGAAACGAUAGCUAAUACCGCCUAGCUAUGGAUGGACCUGCGUUGUAUUAGCUAGUUGGUGAGGUAAAGGCUCACCAAGGCGACGAUACAUAGCCGACCUGAGAGGGUGAUCGGCCACACUGGAACUGAGACACGGCCCAGACUCCUACGGGAGGCAGCAGUGGGGAAUAUUGCACAAUGGGCGCAAGCCUGAUGCAGCCAUGCCGCGUGUAUGAAGAAGGCCUUCGGGUUGUAAAGUACUUUCAGCGGGGAGGCGUUACCCGCAGAAGAAGCACCGGCUAACUCCGUGCCAGCAGCCGCGGUAAUAC
RNAcentral lists this ribosomal RNA (406 nucleotides) under uncultured bacterium. RNAcentral's name for it is "partial 16S ribosomal RNA". It matches the Rfam family "Bacterial small subunit ribosomal RNA", at positions 28 to 526 of the family's 1533-position model. The record is from RNAcentral.